This 463-nucleotide ribosomal RNA is filed under the name uncultured bacterium. RNAcentral describes it as "partial 16S ribosomal RNA". It matches the Rfam family "Bacterial small subunit ribosomal RNA", at positions 28 to 507 of the family's 1533-position model. The record is from RNAcentral.
GACGAACGCUGGCGGCGUGCUUAACACAUGCAAGUCGAACGGAAAGGCCUUUUCGGAGGUACUCGAGUGGCGAACGGGUGAGUAACACGUGGGUGAUCUGCCCUGCACUCUGGGAUAAGCCUGGGAAACUGGGUCUAAUACCGGAUAGGACCGCACUUUAGUGUGUGUGGUGGCAAGUUGUUUCGGUGUAGGAUGAGCCCGCGGCCUAUCAGCUUGUUGGUGGGGUAAUGGCCUACCAAGGCGGCGACGGGUAGCCGGACUGAGAGGUUGGUCGGCCACAUUGGGACUGAGAUACGGCCCAGACGCCUACGGGAGGCAGCAGUGGGGAAUAUUGCACAAUGGGCGCAAGCCUGAUGCAGCGACGCCGCGUGGGGGAUGACGGCCUUCGGGUUGUAAACUCCUUUCGCCAGGGACGAAGCGUUUUGUGACGGUACCUGGAGAAGAAGCACCGGCUAACUACGUG